UAUCCUAACCGUGCAAAGGUAGCGCAAUCACUUGUCCCCUAAAUAGUGACUAGUAUGAACGGCCAUACGAGAAUAAACCUGUCUCUUUUGACAAAUCAGUGAAACUGAUCUUCCAGUACAAAAGCUGGAAUAUCAACAUAAGACGAAAAGACCCUGUGGAGCUUCAAUAUCACUCUACCCCCAUUAGCACAAAUAUUUUAGUUGGGGCAACUUCGGAACAAAACUAAACUUCCGAGCAUGCUCCGGAAACACCGUUAUCAAGACAAACAUGUCAAAACCCGAGCCAGAUCCAGUAACCCACUGACCAACGAACCAAGUUACCCCAGGGAUAACAGCGCCAUCUUCUUCUAGAGCCCCCAUCGACAAGAAGGUUUACGACCUCGAUGUUGGAUCAGGACACCCCAGCAGCGCAGCCGCUACUA
This 422-nucleotide ribosomal RNA is filed under the name Varanus bengalensis. RNAcentral describes it as "partial 16S ribosomal RNA". It matches the Rfam family "Bacterial large subunit ribosomal RNA", at positions 1938 to 2567 of the family's 2925-position model. Lineage: Eukaryota; Metazoa; Chordata; Lepidosauria; Squamata; Varanidae. The record is from RNAcentral.